GAAUUUGCAUUUAUGUUACAUUCAAUAUAGGAUUAGGGAUGGGACAACACAUCAUAACUGUUUGUCUUCAUCCUGAAAUACCUGCUGCCAGGACCUAAUGCGGCAGGUAACUUAAGCACUCUUCCAGAUUCAAAUAUUUUUUUUGUGGCCAGGUGUAAUUAAGCUGUUGUCAUUGUCGAGGUUAUUAUUUUAAGUGAUAGAAAAAGCUAAAAAUUGGAAGAAAAUUGGUUUUCUUCGAAAGGGUAAGAAGUCAGCUACGGCUGCGAAUCAUGAGACAAACAUUAGGGAUCUCGUUCUCCAGGCUACUGUUGUGUGCUUUAUGCUUCGACUUCCUGAUGUUUACCUCCUUGAUAGAAUUUAAUAGCAUGUAAAUGUCUUCAAAACCUCGUCCAUCUGCUGACUAUUAUGUUUAGCUCGACAGAAUUUUGAAAUCAGUUUUCCUUUAGUGGUGUUGUUGGAGUGACCGAACAUGAAUCAUAGGUUAUUCUGAUCAUGAACAUCUCUCAAACAAACUUACAGUAUGUUAUGCAUUAUCUACGUUGUCCCUCAUCAUACGCUCUUGGGUACCAAGCAUGUCGUUUAUGCCAGAAUGUAAAUAAAAGUUUGCAUCAAGACAUCAUUUACUUAGCAUGCUAUUUGACUAUAUGAACACACCCUCAUUCUUUCUAAUUAGUCUUUCCUACAUUUUUGCUUUCUCAUGUGAUCGAGUAUAAGUGGUCGCUCUAUGCUUUAUUUCUUCAAAUGCUCCUACGCUACAUACCUUAUUUAUUUCCUUGAUUGGAUUUUUGUGUUUACAUUUUUCAAUUCCCUUUCUUUUUUUAGUUGAUCAUGUCUUUACAUUCUUUAUCUCUCCUGUUUUGCAUGAAUCCACAGUGGAGUUCAAGUAGACUAUCUCCGGUGCAUUCCUCAUCGGGCCAAUGAGGCCUAUCUUAUUGAGUCCAGUCCAAUGACCUAAAAGUGACCCUGCGGUGAUGAAUACGAGGAGUUAGAAAAAGAAAGGCGAGUUAAAGACCCACAUUUAAAGUGGCUUGAGUAACUCUAAUCUUGAUGAUUUCUACCAUGAAAAUGGCCUUGGUAAAGGCAUGCACAUAAGGUGUUUGUGAAAAUGUCUAAGUAAAUUGUCUAGUCUUAUGUUGGUGAUGUUUUGAACAAGGAAAAUGACCCAAUAAGUAUGAAUUAUUAUUAUAUGAUAUUGUAAAAGUAUUACUAGCCAUGUAUUAUAAAAUUGAUGAUCGUGUUAGUUGAUGGUUAAUGAGGGGUUAAAGUUUCUAUUCAUGAAUAUGAACUUGAAUUGUGUGUUGAACUAAAGUGUGGUAAGAAUGUGGUCUAAGAUUACUAAUGAUAUGUGAACAGUUUGUGAAGGUCUUGAUGACCUUAAAUAGGAUUGUAUAAUAAAUUAAGUCAUUGGUCUAUUGAAAUAGUUGAGCAAUGAAGGCUCCCAUGAGAACCAUAUGGUCAUGUAUAGUAUUGAAUUGUCUAAAUGGGUUAAAGUCCUUAAGUGUGAAUUGAAUAGCUGAUGAUUUAUGGACAAAGGGUUGGAGUCCUAAUGUCGACUAGUGAUAGUCGUAAUGGCUCGAGGUUAAAGUCUCUUUCCUAAUGAAAGGGCUUGAGUUAAAGUCCCAUGCCUAAUGAAAUCGCUUAUGGUUAAAGUCCCUUGUACAAUAAGAUCUCUUGAGGUUGAAGUGCCUCGCCAAAUGAAAUGGCUUGGGUUAGAGUCCCCUAUCUAAUAAGGUAUGAGGUUAGAGUCCCUUGCCAAAUGUACAGGAAUGUGGUUAGGGUCCCUUGCCUAAAUGAAUGUGUGUGUGUGGUAAGAGUCCCUUGCCUAAAUGAAUAUGCAUGUGUGGUUAGAGUCCCUUGCUUAAAUGGAUAUGUGUGUGGUUAGAAUCCCUUGCUUAAUGAGUGUAUAGAUGGUUAAAGUCCUUAAUUUAAGUAAUAUAUAAAUGUGGUUGAAGUAUUAUACUUAAUAAGAAUUGUUUGAAUCUAAGUGUGGAAGGUCAGAGUCCUUCACUUUAUGUCUCAUGAUUGAGUGCUUUGAGAAUAUUGUUAAGGAUUGUUUACUUGUUUGGCAUGUGAUAUACCUACAUGUAUGGAUAAGGUCAUAAAGAUGGGUAAAUAUAAUAUAUUGACUUGUUGUUGAUUGAUGAUGUUAUUUUAUCCUUAUCCUAGAGUUAGAUGCUAGCGCUCCAAUUGCUAAUCAUCUCCGGAUGUUAUGUCCUUACACGACAUAGGGGUUGUUGACACCUAAUUUUUCCCCUCCACAACUACGUUUAAUCUCGAGUUUCUUCGAUUUUCAAAUAAAAUCACAACAAUUAUUUUUCCAAAUAAAGGCAUUUUAAAAUAGGCAUUUGGGCUAAUUUUGUCAUUUAAGUGAUAAUAAUAUAAUUUCGUAUUUGCAUAUACGAGAUUGUAUAAAUGAUGUCAUUUAAAUGAACAUCUUCAUCAAAUUGGGCUUUAAAUUAAGGAUUAUUUGAAAAAUAAAUAAAUAAUUAUAAUCUUAAUUUAAACAUCAUUUAUUCUGAAAAUAAUUUUGUUUGAUUUUAUCGAAUCAAGAAGUUUGGGGUUAAAACGGGUAUUAAUUCGUAUCGAAUUUAGUCUGUCUAUUAGAUUUGACCAUAAUUGAAAUCAAAUUGGCUAUGAUUGCAAUGCAAUUGACUAAUUAACUUUCAAUUUCGUUUAAAUUUAAAUAGAUGGCUAAAUUAGAACUGAAGUUAUUUCUGAACAACCUUUAGUCCAAUUGGGGUUUAUUUUUCCUAAAUUUAAUCGGGAUUAUUUUAACUUUUAACCCCAAUUAUUAACCCAAUUAAACUAAUACCAAUUGCCCAUUUCUUUUUCUUUUAAACGUUACCAGCCCAAUCCCUCCUAAAUAAUAUACUGCAGCCUCAAUUUGGCCCAAAUAUCCCAAUAAACCGCCCCAGCUAGCCCAACAAUAACAAUUUCUCCAACCAAGACCCCAACCCGGCCCAUUUCUUAUAAUCUUUAACAAUACUGCAGCUUCCAAACAGUGCCCAUAUCAACAACAAUCUCAUGAUCAACAGCUCCUAAAUCGCGAUGCGUCAACAACUUCGAAUCCGAUGAACCCAACCCAUCUAGCUCCACAUUUACCCGCUACCAACCCAUUCGUGGUCUUCCUCACUCCGUCACACUCGAGUCCAUAUGAGAAAGACCUAGAAGCUUCUAGAAAAGUGAUGCAUCAGCCCCUUCUAAUGUUCGAAUCGUAGAUCUUUCGGGUUGAUUGGUACGAUUUCGUACGUAGUUGGGGGAUUUUCAUUGACUAUUGAAUACCAUUUAUUUUUUCGAAAUGGUAUUGGUCCACGUAUUUCAAUUUCUUUGAAAAUUGGCAAUUGAUACCAAUUAUUAGUUGGAAAUUACAUCUUUAGUUGGAAUUUCAAAUUACCUCCACAGAAAAUCCUGAAAUUACCCUCGAUUGGUCUCUGUAGAGAGCUCACUGAUGAGCUGGGAAGGGGUUGGAAUUUUUGGUAGUCUAAAAAGGUUGAAAAAAAUUUAGGGUUUUCGUUUUCAGCUUGAGAGUCUCUUUUAGGGUUGGAGUCCUGGGAGUCAGAAAUUGGGUUUUCGACUUUUGGGGUUCAAAAAUCAGAGUUUGAAGAUCCUGGGGGUCAGGAUUCUUUUUUAUGUUCUCUUCUUUGAGGGUUCAAAUUUUUGUCCAGCAAAUUCUAGGGCCUUUAUUCAGGGAAGACAGAAGCCGUGAGAAACGAAGUUUUUCGAAAGUCGGGUUAGGAACUCUAAAAUCAAAAAGUUAUUUCGCAUAAUUUUCUCGUCACUUCUUUCUGGAAGCUAGUCACUCAAUUGGGAGUACCCGAGUUGACAACAUCAAGUUCCCAGCAAUGAUUACUAUGCUGAUAGCUCGUUUGUUCCAUUUUGCUACCCCGAAGGAGGUAAACAUACUCUUACCCCUUUUAACUUAUCGAUUUCUUCUUUAUCCCUCUUUCUUUAUGGUAAUAUUUGUUUGUUUGUUGAUGAAUAAGGCUGGGUUGUUCGCUGUAAAAAGCCUUAAAGGCCGUAGGUUUUGUGAAAGCAAUGUUGUCUGUAUUGUCUGGUUAUGAUGGUUUUGCCUUAGUUUCUAUUGCUUAUUUUGACAUUGUUGAUUAGUUUUGUCCUGUUUCUUAUUAAGUAUAGUGACCGUUGUGUGGGUCGAUGGUUUAUCAUCUAGAGUUGCUCCUUUGAUGGUCGUUCUAUUAUUUAUCUAAGUGUCAUUGGGUUUCAUUCGUUGUUAUUGUAGUCUAAAGUAUUUAAUGAAAAAUCCAAAGAUCUCUCGACGGUCGUGUCGUUUGAUCGAAAGAGAGGAUUAGAAUGAUUUGAUGACUCAUUCGUUGUGACUGUUUGACAUAGUUUUGGACUGUGUAUUUUCCUACUCAGCUGGUAACAUUGCUAGCAGAGCUGCCUCUCAAGUCUCUUUGGCUUCUCACGUGCCAAAGGGAUAAUGAGUAAGAGCCAAGAUGGGCUAUAAAUGCCUGUGAUUCCUCGAUGAUCAUAUCGGCUACCAAAAGCUUAUCCUUUUGGGUUUGUCGAAAAAAGAGUGAGGAUGAGGAUAGUAGACUUUGCUACGUUUCCAUUUGGUUUAAUGGGUUAUGUCUUUUGCCUCGUCUUAAAACUCGAAUUUUAGACUCCCAUCCUUCCUUGGGUUUCAUCCUCAGUGGGGAGACACAUUAGAAGGAUAAACAUGGUAAUAUUUUGGGGUACUAGAUAUUCGAAUGUGUCCUGUUCAGGGCAGUAGCCUAAUUUUGUUGUUAUCAUACUGCAUAUAAUUUAUGUUCAGGCUAAGGAUUCCCAAGGAUCUUUCUUUGUCAACAAUAAUCAAGAAGGUAGGGAUGAAUUUGCAUUUAUGUUACAUUCAAUAUAGGAUUAGGGAUGGGACAACACAUCAUAACUGUUUGUCUUCAUCCUGAAAUACCUGCUGCCAGGACCUAAUGCGGCAGGUAACUUAAGCACUCUUCCAGAUUCAAUUUUCCAAAUAAAGGCAUUUUAAAAUAGGCAUUUGGGCUAAUUUUGUCAUUUAAGUGAUAAUAAUAUAAUUUCGUAUUUGCAUAUACGAGAUUGUAUAAAUGAUGUCAUUUAAAUGAACAUCUUCAUCAAAUUGGGCUUUAAAUUAAGGAUUAUUUGAAAAAUAAAUAAAUAAUUAUAAUCUUAAUUUAAACAUCAUUUAUUCUGAAAAUAAUUUUGUUUGAUUUUAUCGAAUCAAGAAGUUUGGGGUUAAAACGGGUAUUAAUUCGUAUCGAAUUUAGUCUGUCUAUUAGAUUUGACCAUAAUUGAAAUCAAAUUGGCUAUGAUUGCAAUGCAAUUGACUAAUUAACUUUCAAUUUCGUUUAAAUUUAAAUAGAUGGCUAAAUUAGAACUGAAGUUAUUUCUGAACAACCUUUAGUCCAAUUGGGGUUUAUUUUUCCUAAAUUUAAUCGGGAUUAUUUUAACUUUUAACCCCAAUUAUUAACCCAAUUAAACUAAUACCAAUUGCCCAUUUCUUUUUCUUUUAAACGUUACCAGCCCAAUCCCUCCUAAAUAAUAUACUGCAGCCUCAAUUUGGCCCAAAUAUCCCAAUAAACCGCCCCAGCUAGCCCAACAAUAACAAUUUCUCCAACCAAGACCCCAACCCGGCCCAUUUCUUAUAAUCUUUAACAAUACUGCAGCUUCCAAACAGUGCCCAUAUCAACAACAAUCUCAUGAUCAACAGCUCCUAAAUCGCGAUGCGUCAACAACUUCGAAUCCGAUGAACCCAACCCAUCUAGCUCCACAUUUACCCGCUACCAACCCAUUCGUGGUCUUCCUCACUCCGUCACACUCGAGUCCAUAUGAGAAAGACCUAGAAGCUUCUAGAAAAGUGAUGCAUCAGCCCCUUCUAAUGUUCGAAUCGUAGAUCUUUCGGGUUGAUUGGUACGAUUUCGUACGUAGUUGGGGGAUUUUCAUUGACUAUUGAAUACCAUUUAUUUUUUCGAAAUGGUAUUGGUCCACGUAUUUCAAUUUCUUUGAAAAUUGGCAAUUGAUACCAAUUAUUAGUUGGAAAUUACAUCUUUAGUUGGAAUUUCAAAUUACCUCCACAGAAAAUCCUGAAAUUACCCUCGAUUGGUCUCUGUAGAGAGCUCACUGAUGAGCUGGGAAGGGGUUGGAAUUUUUGGUAGUCUAAAAAGGUUGAAAAAAAUUUAGGGUUUUCGUUUUCAGCUUGAGAGUCUCUUUUAGGGUUGGAGUCCUGGGAGUCAGAAAUUGGGUUUUCGACUUUUGGGGUUCAAAAAUCAGAGUUUGAAGAUCCUGGGGGUCAGGAUUCUUUUUUAUGUUCUCUUCUUUGAGGGUUCAAAUUUUUGUCCAGCAAAUUCUAGGGCCUUUAUUCAGGGAAGACAGAAGCCGUGAGAAACGAAGUUUUUCGAAAGUCGGGUUAGGAACUCUAAAAUCAAAAAGUUAUUUCGCAUAAUUUUCUCGUCACUUCUUUCUGGAAGCUAGUCACUCAAUUGGGAGUACCCGAGUUGACAACAUCAAGUUCCCAGCAAUGAUUACUAUGCUGAUAGCUCGUUUGUUCCAUUUUGCUACCCCGAAGGAGGUAAACAUACUCUUACCCCUUUUAACUUAUCGAUUUCUUCUUUAUCCCUCUUUCUUUAUGGUAAUAUUUGUUUGUUUGUUGAUGAAUAAGGCUGGGUUGUUCGCUGUAAAAAGCCUUAAAGGCCGUAGGUUUUGUGAAAGCAAUGUUGUCUGUAUUGUCUGGUUAUGAUGGUUUUGCCUUAGUUUCUAUUGCUUAUUUUGACAUUGUUGAUUAGUUUUGUCCUGUUUCUUAUUAAGUAUAGUGACCGUUGUGUGGGUCGAUGGUUUAUCAUCUAGAGUUGCUCCUUUGAUGGUCGUUCUAUUAUUUAUCUAAGUGUCAUUGGGUUUCAUUCGUUGUUAUUGUAGUCUAAAGUAUUUAAUGAAAAAUCCAAAGAUCUCUCGACGGUCGUGUCGUUUGAUCGAAAGAGAGGAUUAGAAUGAUUUGAUGACUCAUUCGUUGUGACUGUUUGACAUAGUUUUGGACUGUGUAUUUUCCUACUCAGCUGGUAACAUUGCUAGCAGAGCUGCCUCUCAAGUCUCUUUGGCUUCUCACGUGCCAAAGGGAUAAUGAGUAAGAGCCAAGAUGGGCUAUAAAUGCCUGUGAUUCCUCGAUGAUCAUAUCGGCUACCAAAAGCUUAUCCUUUUGGGUUUGUCGAAAAAAGAGUGAGGAUGAGGAUAGUAGACUUUGCUACGUUUCCAUUUGGUUUAAUGGGUUAUGUCUUUUGCCUCGUCUUAAAACUCGAAUUUUAGACUCCCAUCCUUCCUUGGGUUUCAUCCUCAGUGGGGAGACACAUUAGAAGGAUAAACAUGGUAAUAUUUUGGGGUACUAGAUAUUCGAAUGUGUCCUGUUCAGGGCAGUAGCCUAAUUUUGUUGUUAUCAUACUGCAUAUAAUUUAUGUUCAGUCUAAGGAUUCCCAAGGAUCUUUCUUGGUCAACAAUAAUCAAGAAGGUAGGGAUGAAUUUGCAUUUAUGUUACAUUCAAUAUAGGAUUAGGGAUGGGACAACACAUCAUAACUGUUUGUCUUCAUCCUGAAAUACCUGCUGCCAGGACCUAAUGCGGCAGGUAACUUAAGCACUCUUCCAGAUUCAAAUAUUUUUUUUGUGGCCAGGUGUAAUUAAGCUGUUGUCAUUGUCGAGGUUAUUAUUUUAAGUGAUAGAAAAAGCUAAAAAUUGGAAGAAAAUUGGUUUUCUUCGAAAGGGUAAGAAGUCAGCUACGGCUGCGAAUCAUGAGACAAACAUUAGGGAUCUCGUUCUCCAGGCUACUGUUGUGUGCUUUAUGCUUCGACUUCCUGAUGUUUACCUCCUUGAUAGAAUUUAAUAGCAUGUAAAUGUCUUCAAAACCUCGUCCAUCUGCUGACUAUUAUGUUUAGCUCGACAGAAUUUUGAAAUCAGUUUUCCUUUAGUGGUGUUGUUGGAGUGACCGAACAUGAAUCAUAGGUUAUUCUGAUCAUGAACAUCUCUCAAACAAACUUACAGUAUGUUAUGCAUUAUCUACGUUGUCCCUCAUCAUACGCUCUUGGGUACCAAGCAUGUCGUUUAUGCCAGAAUGUAAAUAAAAGUUUGCAUCAAGACAUCAUUUACUUAGCAUGCUAUUUGACUAUAUGAACACACCCUCAUUCUUUCUAAUUAGUCUUUCCUACAUUUUUGCUUUCUCAUGUGAUCGAGUAUAAGUGGUCGCUCUAUGCUUUAUUUCUUCAAAUGCUCCUACGCUACAUACCUUAUUUAUUUCCUUGAUUGGAUUUUUGUGUUUACAUUUUUCAAUUCCCUUUCUUUUUUUAGUUGAUCAUGUCUUUACAUUCUUUAUCUCUCCUGUUUUGCAUGAAUCCACUGUGGAGUUCAAGUGGACUGUCUCCGGUGCAUCCCUCAUCGGGCCAAUGAGGCCUAUCUUAUUGAGUCCAGUCCAAUGACCUAAAAGUGACCCUGCGGUGAUGAAUACGAGGAGUUAGAAAAAGAAAGGCGAGUUAAAGACCCACAUUUAAAGUGGCUAAGAGACUCCGAAGUCUCAUUUGUUGUUUAAUUUGUUUAAGUAUUAUUGUCUUUAUUUUAUUUUUCUUAUUUAUUCAUCAUUCAUUUGGGCCACAAAUCCAAAGUUUUAUUUAAUACAAUUGGAGCAAGAUUCAC
Molecule: long non-coding RNA, 8640 nt
Filed under: Capsicum annuum
Lineage: Eukaryota; Viridiplantae; Streptophyta; Magnoliopsida; Solanales; Solanaceae
Description: long non-coding RNA (CANN_LNC017369)
Source: RNAcentral